UCCUUGGUAGUAUAGUGGUGAGUAUCUCCGCCUGUCACGCGGAAGACCGGGGUUCAAUUCCCCGCCAAGGAG
This is a transfer RNA of 72 nucleotides. It matches the Rfam family "tRNA". Rfam says of the family: Transfer RNA (tRNA) molecules are approximately 80 nucleotides in length. Their secondary structure includes four short double-helical elements and three loops (D, anti-codon, and T loops). The record is from Rfam.